This 100-nucleotide small nuclear RNA is filed under the name Glossina pallidipes. Lineage: Eukaryota; Metazoa; Arthropoda; Insecta; Diptera; Glossinidae. The record is from RNAcentral.
AUAUGCCGACAUAUGCAGAACACAUUGGAAUAAUAGAGAGAAGAUAAGCGUGGCUAUGCGCAAGGAUAACAUGCAAACUCCUGAAGCGUUCCAAACUUUU